RNAcentral lists this ribosomal RNA (448 nucleotides) under uncultured bacterium. RNAcentral's name for it is "bacterial SSU rRNA". It matches the Rfam family "Bacterial small subunit ribosomal RNA", at positions 84 to 527 of the family's 1533-position model. The record is from RNAcentral.
UACCUGACCUAGCGGCGGACGGGUGAGUAAUGCUUAGGAAUCUGCCUAUUAGUGGGGGACAACAUUCCGAAAGGAAUGCUAAUACCGCAUACGCCCUACGGGGGAAAGCAGGGGAUCUUCGGACCUUGCGCUAAUAGAUGAGCCUAAGUCAGAUUAGCUAGUUGGUGGGGUAAAGGCCUACCAAGGCGACGAUCUGUAGCGGGUCUGAGAGGAUGAUCCGCCACACUGGGACUGAGACACGGCCCAGACUCCUACGGGAGGCAGCAGUGGGGAAUAUUGGACAAUGGGCGAAAGCCUGAUCCAGCCAUGCCGCGUGUGUGAAGAAGGCCUUUUGGUUGUAAAGCACUUUAAGCGAGGAGGAGGCUACUUAGAUUAAUACUCUAGGAUAGUGGACGUUACUCGCAGAAUAAGCACCGGCUAACUCUGUGCCAGCAGCCGCGGUAAUACG